Molecule: small RNA, 182 nt
Filed under: Exophiala xenobiotica
Lineage: Eukaryota; Fungi; Ascomycota; Eurotiomycetes; Chaetothyriales; Herpotrichiellaceae
Description: A. fumigatus sRNA Afu_182
Rfam family: A. fumigatus sRNA Afu_182
Source: Rfam by way of RNAcentral
AUAUGAACAACGCAAAAACCAACGUUCCUGCAAAAGCGUUCCUACGAGUUCACUCUAAGGUGAUCCAUGAUGUACGGAAAUCGUCUAUUGGAAUGGAGAUUGAACAACAACGGUCGAUCUUGGGUGCAGUGUCCGUCGCGUCCUUUUGGAUAUGACUGAGAGUGCAAUGAUUGACCACACAG